UACGUAGGUGGCAAGCGUUGUCCGGAUUUACUGGGCGUAAAGAGCGCGCAGGCGGUCGGAUAAGUCGAAUGUGAAAGCCCCCGGCUCAACUGGGGAGGGUCAUUCGAUACUGUUCGACUCGAAGGCAGGAGAGGGAAGUGGAAUUCCCGGUGUAGUGGUGAAAUGCGUAGAUAUCUGGAGGAACACCGGUGGCGAAGGCGGCAUCCUGGACCAAUAUUGACGCUGAGGAGCGAAAGCCAGGGGAGCAAACGGG
Molecule: ribosomal RNA, 253 nt
Filed under: uncultured bacterium
Lineage: Bacteria
Description: partial 16S ribosomal RNA
Rfam family: Bacterial small subunit ribosomal RNA
Source: RNAcentral